GAGACCCACGCCAACAGUUGCCAGCUCGUCCUCCGGGAUGGUGGGGACACUGUUGGGACCGCCUCUGCUAAAGAGGAGGAAGGAAUGGGCAACGGUAGGUCAGCAUGCCCCGAAUUAACUGGGCUACACGCGGGCUACAAUGGGUGGGACAAUGGGUAUCGACACCGAAAGGUGAAGGCAAUCUCCUAAACCCAUCCUUAGUUCGGAUUGUGGGUUGCAACUCACCCACAUGAAGCUGGAAUCCGUAGUAAUCGUGUCUCAAAAUGGCACGGUGAAUAU
This 279-nucleotide ribosomal RNA is filed under the name uncultured methanogenic archaeon. Its description in RNAcentral is "partial 16S rRNA". It matches the Rfam family "Archaeal small subunit ribosomal RNA", at positions 1047 to 1325 of the family's 1478-position model. The record is from RNAcentral. Lineage: Archaea; Methanobacteriati; Methanobacteriota.